AUUGAACGCUGGCGGCAUGCCUUACACAUGCAAGUCGAACGGCAGCGGACCUUCGGGUGCCGGCGAGUGGCGAACGGGUGAGUAAUAUAUCGGAACGUACCUUUCAGUGGGGGAUAACGUAGCGAAAGUUACGCUAAUACCGCAUAUUCUGUGAGCAGGAAAGCAGGGGAUCGCAAGACCUUGCGCUGAUUGAGCGGCCGAUAUCAGAUUAGCUAGUUGGUGAGGUAAAGGCUCACCAAGGCGACGAUCUGUAGCGGGUCUGAGAGGAUGGUCCGCCACACUGGAACUGAGACACGGUCCAGACUCCUACGGGAGGCAGCAGUGGGGAAUUUUGGACAAUGGGCGCAAGCCUGAUCCAGCCAUGCCGCGUGAGUGAAGAAGGCCUCGGUUGUUAAGACUCUUUCGUCCGGAGGAAAUACGCACAGGUAAUAACCUCGUGUGGAGUGACGGUACCGGAAGUAAGAAGAC
Molecule: ribosomal RNA, 468 nt
Filed under: uncultured bacterium
Lineage: Bacteria
Description: bacterial SSU rRNA
Rfam family: Bacterial small subunit ribosomal RNA
Source: RNAcentral